Schistocerca cancellata (South American locust) is the source of this 545-nucleotide long non-coding RNA. RefSeq lists it as uncharacterized. Lineage: Eukaryota; Metazoa; Arthropoda; Insecta; Orthoptera; Acrididae. The record is from RefSeq and is a predicted model, not a curated record. The transcript is spliced from 4 exons.
GCGUUUAAACACUCAUUCUUCCCGCUCUACAUGCGCCAAUGGAACGGGAAGAAGCCGUAAUGAGAGGUAGAGCUGAUAGCAUUGGACCCAACUCAGCGUUUUGUUGUAGAGGACAAAUCUCGGAAAGAUAUUGCUGAACAUUUGGUACAAAUUUGUGUAGAUAAACUUUGUCAAAAGACUCCCUCUUUGGCAACUUUAAAAAUGCAGGUUCAUUUUGAUACAAACUUUGUACCUAAAGCUAAUCUAGUGAUAACUAAUCGCACAAAAAGGAAACAGAAAACAAGUGUGAUAUUGAAGGAAAUUUCAGAAAUAACAGCAAGGACAAGAGAAGCACUGAAAAAAAUAUAUAGAAAACUUGUAAUUGCAGUAACAAUUUACUCUGGGCUAGGAAGUCCUACAAAUAUUUCUGUAUUACAAGAAACAAGUGAUGCACUUCAGAGUGUUUUCCCUUUGAGUGAAUUGGAAAAAUUUCUCUGCCUUCCACAUAAAGAGAAAGAGCACCGUGUUACUGAACUUUCUCAAAUUGUGGCAGGCAUUCGGCUAUU